GACGAACGCUGGCGGCGCGCCUAACACAUGCAAGUCGAACGGAGUCAAGAGGAGCUUGCUUUUCUUGACUUAGUGGCGAACGGGUGAGUAACGCGUGAGUAACCUGCCCUGGAGUGGGGGACAACAGUUGGAAACGACUGCUAAUACCGCAUAAGCCCACGGAUCUGCAUGGAUCUGCGGGAAAAGGAUUUAUUCGCUCUAGGAUGGACUCGCGUCCAAUUAGCUAGUUGGUGAGGUAACGGCCCACCAAGGCGACGAUUGGUAGCCGGACUGAGAGGUUGAACGGCCACAUUGGGACUGAGACACGGCCCAGACUCCUACGGGAGGCAGCAGUGGGGGAUAUUGCACGAUGGGGGAAACCCUGAUGCAGCGACGCCGCGUGGAGGAAGAAGGUUUUCGGAUUGUAAACUCCUGUCGUUAGGGACGAUAAUGACGGUACCUAACAAGAAAGCACCAGCUAACUACGUG
RNAcentral lists this ribosomal RNA (468 nucleotides) under uncultured bacterium. RNAcentral describes it as "partial 16S ribosomal RNA". It matches the Rfam family "Bacterial small subunit ribosomal RNA", at positions 28 to 507 of the family's 1533-position model. The record is from RNAcentral.